AACGAACGCUGGCGGCGUGCCUAAUACAUGCAAGUCGAGCGAAUGGAUUAAGAGCUUGCUCUUAUGAAGUUAGCGGCGGACGGGUGAGUAACACGUGGGUAACCUGCCCAUAAGACUGGGAUAACUCCGGGAAACCGGGGCUAAUACCGGAUAACAUUUUGAACCGCAUGGUUCGAAAUUGAAAGGCGGUUUCGGCUGUCACUUAUGGAUGGACCCGCGUCGCAUUAGCUAGUUGGUGAGGUAACGGCUCACCAAGGCAACGAUGCGUAGCCGACCUGGGAGGGUGAUCGGCCACACUGGGACUGAGACACGGCCCAGACUCCUACGGGAGGAAGCAGUAGGGAAUCUUCCGCAAUGGACGAAAGUCUGACGGAGCAACGCCGCGUGAGUGAUGAAGGCUUUCGGGUCGUAAAACUCUGUUGUUAGGGAAGAACAAGUGCUAGUUGAAUAAGCUGACACCUUGACGGUACCUAACCAGAAAGCCACGGCUAACUACGUGCCAGCAGCCGCAGUAA
This 515-nucleotide ribosomal RNA is filed under the name uncultured bacterium. RNAcentral's name for it is "partial 16S ribosomal RNA". It matches the Rfam family "Bacterial small subunit ribosomal RNA", at positions 29 to 523 of the family's 1533-position model. The record is from RNAcentral.